UACACACCGCCCGUCACACCAUGGGAGUUGGCUUUACCUGAAGACGGUGCGCUAACCGCAAGGAGGCAGCCGGCCACGGUAGGGUCAGCGACUGGGUG
This 98-nucleotide ribosomal RNA is filed under the name uncultured bacterium. Its description in RNAcentral is "partial 16S ribosomal RNA". It matches the Rfam family "Bacterial small subunit ribosomal RNA", at positions 1384 to 1482 of the family's 1533-position model. The record is from RNAcentral.